UGCAGUCGAGCGGACAGAAGGGAGCUUGCUCCCGGAUGUUAGCGGCGGACGGGUGAGUAACACGUGGGUAACCUGCCUGUAAGACUGGGAUAACUCCGGGAAACCGGAGCUAAUACCGGAUAGUUCCUUGAACCGCAUGGUUCAAGGAUGAAAGACGGUUUCGGCUGUCACUUACAGAUGGACCCGCGGCGCAUUAGCUAGUUGGUGGGGUAAUGGCUCACCAAGGCGACGAUGCGUAGCCGACCUGAGAGGGUGAUCGGCCACACUGGGACUGAGACACGGCCCAGACUCCUACGGGAGGCAGCAGUAGGGAAUCUUCCGCAAUGGACGAAAGUCUGACGGAGCAACGCCGCGUGAGUGAUGAAGGUUUUCGGAUCGUAAAGCUCUGUUGUUAGGGAAGAACAAGUGCGAGAGUAACUGCUCGCACCUUGACGGUACCUAACCAGAAAGCCACGGCUAACUACGUGCCAGCAGCCGCGGUAAUACGUAGGUGGCAAGCGUUGUCCGGAAUUAUUGGGCGUAAAGGGCUCGCAGGCGGUUUCUUAAGUCUGAUGUGAAAGCCCCCGGCUCAACCGGGGAGGGUCAUUGGAAACUGGGAAACUUGAGUGCAGAAGAGGAGAGUGGAAUUCCACGUGUAGCGGUGAGAUGCGUAGAGAUGUGGAGGAACACCAGUGGCGAAUGCGACUCUCUGGUCUGUAACUGACGCUUAAGGAGCGAAAAGCGUGGGGAGCGAACAGGAUUAGAUACCCUGGUAGUCCACGCCGUAAACGAUGAGUGCUAAGUGUUUA
Molecule: ribosomal RNA, 788 nt
Filed under: Bacillus sp. NCCP-2322
Lineage: Bacteria; Bacillati; Bacillota; Bacilli; Caryophanales; Bacillaceae
Description: bacterial SSU rRNA
Rfam family: Bacterial small subunit ribosomal RNA
Source: RNAcentral